UCAUUUAACUAACUUAGGAAUUGAACCUUGAACUAUGUUGUUCAAAGAUUAUUUUGCUUCUGUACUGCUGACCAUGGUAUGCCUAACAUUUGAUACCCCCUUACUAGGCUAUUCCUGCCAAAAUGCUUUUCAAAGCAUCCUACAAACCCAUCAGCAACGGGGUAAAUUUCCUCGGAAUAGUGCAGUCAAGUUAUUAGGCGGGCGCGUUAUUUCACAGAUGGAGUGUCUUGAUCUUUGUCUUCGAAAUGCAAGGUGCGAUUUCUUCGACAUGAAACAAGUAUAUUCAGAGAAUUCUACGAAGCAUUGGAUUUGCUCAGUUAAGCAACGGUUAUCUGCCCCAGAUACAGAACUCGUUUCAUCGAGAGCGUGGUUUCAUUUCAACAUAAGCUCUCAUAACCUUCAAGAGAUUUUAUUAUCUUCGACUUCCACGUGCUAAAUGAAGAAUAUCUGUAUGUCUCUAUCAAGCCCACUGGAUCAGCAACACUUGAUUUUUCAAGCAAAGAUGGAAGUGGAAAAGAGCAAAUGAUUUAUCAAGAUAGAAUCUAGAGACUUAGUUCCACUCUGACCAGCUUUAUUUCAGAACAGUGAUCUAAGAUUAUAACCUAUUGCUGAUAAAGUAGUCAGGAUUUUCAAAUGUGAAAUUUGAUGAGUAACAUCAAUUUUUAUUAAACGUCCAAAAAGCAUUAUAGGCAAGGCCUAUAACUUUUUCAAAGACACCACGUUCAAAUUUAAACUUCUCCAUUCUUUUAAUAAAACGUAGCUAGUGUAAACGUCUGGACCGCAAGUUGAAGGUUCUGUGAAAAGAAAACAAAAAAUGUUUCACUUUUUUUUAAAUCAAAAAUAAAAUACCAAGUAUAAAAGGUGAGAGUAAAGGAAGUAAUUGUGAGGUAGACCAGGAUUUAAGCACUUUAGUUAGAAAUGAGUAAGUAUUUAAUCAGUAAGUAAUUGCAACGUUAACUUUAUAUUUCCAUUUUGAAUUUUUUUCUUCUGGCAAAAAAAGAAUGGCGACAUCAGGCCUUAAAUUUGCAUUCUGUUUAAUUUUUCUUGUAUCGGAAAGUUCCUUUUGCUGUGAGGCGCCUCACAGUGCUCUAUCCAACCGCCAGAAUAUACUGAAACAUCGUCAGAAGGUGGGACGUGUUCAUCCAGGGACGAGAAUGACUUAUUAAAUCGUGCGUAAAAAAGGUGGAAUACCUUGACAUCUGUUUACGAACUUCUAAGUGUGCUUCUUAUGCUUUGAAACCAGCAAAGCAUAAGCGCGGCACGCGCGCACGGUCUGUUUGGAUCUGUUUAAUAAACAAAGAAGCAAUUUUUUUCAA
This 1316-nucleotide unclassified non-coding RNA is filed under the name Stylophora pistillata. RNAcentral's name for it is "uncharacterized LOC111325540, transcript variant X1". The record is from RNAcentral. Lineage: Eukaryota; Metazoa; Cnidaria; Anthozoa; Scleractinia; Pocilloporidae.